RNAcentral lists this unclassified non-coding RNA (396 nucleotides) under Tetrataenium sublineare. Its description in RNAcentral is "partial external transcribed spacer". Lineage: Eukaryota; Viridiplantae; Streptophyta; Magnoliopsida; Apiales; Apiaceae. The record is from RNAcentral.
CGCAUGAGCAAGAGGACAAUUACUGUCCUCGAGUCAACACAGGGCACGUCAGGCUUCCAUAAGGGACAAUUGAUUCAGGCAAAAAGGGACAAAGUCCCCAACCGAUCAUUGCUUCUACAUACAAGACUUCGGACAACACAUGGGCGUCCAAUGCCUGCUAGCUAAAUAAGCAAAGCAAGGGCGGACGUGCAUGGUUGAUUCAGGGUCUAGGUCGCACAACAUUUUAGCGCAAGAUAAAGAAGGGAACAUGGGACUGGAGAAUUCCGUCAAAAUAGGUAUGCUGCACAGGGGGCCAAGCCAAUCCAAGGUAAAUGGUUUACACUUGAACAAAAUUGAACAGGUGUGAACCAGCGAUUGUCGCUGCCAAGGCAGGGAACCAACCAACCGGAACAUACC